GUAGGUGAACCUGCGGAAGGAUCAUUACCGAGUGAGGGCCCUCUGGGUCCAACCUCCCACCCGUGUUUAUCGUACCUUGUUGCUUCGGCGGGCCCGCCUCACGGCCGCCGGGGGGCUUCUGCCCUCUGGCCCGCGCCCGCCGAAGACACCAUUGAACGCUGUCUGAAGAUUGCAGUCUGAGCAAUUAGCUAAAUAAGUUAAAACUUUCAACAACGGAUCUCUUGGUUCCG
RNAcentral lists this unclassified non-coding RNA (230 nucleotides) under rhizosphere metagenome. RNAcentral's name for it is "partial ribosomal RNA internal transcribed spacer region". The record is from RNAcentral.